UGAGAUGGCCUCUCGCCCUAUUCAGUGUAACGCUGUGGUAGUGGGUUUGGUCGCUCGCAUUUAAAUUGGAAGGGUAAUGGUGGACCGCACUUCUCCCUUAGUAGGACGUUGCGACCUGUCAAAAAAUAUCCUAAGUAUUUGGCUAAUUUGUCUGUUUUUAGGCAAUACCGAAAGGUAUUUCCUUUAACAGUUUUAGCCGUUUAUAUACUGGAUAUAAUUGACAGUAUCGAAUCAUGGUGUUGAGCCACUUGAAAUUGUAUAUUUAUAUGUAUAAUGGAAAGUGUCCUUGUGGCUGUUUGCAAGUGGGUUGGUUAAUUAGUUUUAGUCGGAUUUUGGUCCGUCUAGCUAUUCCGCCUACUGUUGGUAAACUGUUCCUUGGACAGUGCUUAUAACACCGGUCGGCAGCGAUUCAGGUUCAGGCUCUUAUCCGACCCGUCUUGAAACACGGACCAAGGAGUUUAGCGUGUACGCAAGUCAUUGGGUGUAUAAAACCCAAAGGCG
This 501-nucleotide ribosomal RNA is filed under the name Paratriatoma lecticularia. RNAcentral describes it as "partial 28S ribosomal RNA". Lineage: Eukaryota; Metazoa; Arthropoda; Insecta; Hemiptera; Reduviidae. The record is from RNAcentral.